AUUCAAAUGAGUCGCGAACCCGGUUUGAAGUCCCGAACUGAUUCAAAUGUUUCGCGAACGCGAUACGAACCCCAGAACUGAUUCAAAUGAUAAUGUUAUUAUUUAGAUGUUGUUAUUUGUACAAAUUUAAAGGGUUUCCAAAAACACUGUGAAUGUAAACCGAGAAAACUGUCCCGCUCGCUCCGUACUCCCGAACUGACUCAAACGUUUCUGGAAAAAUGAGCGCCCGUCGCUUCUGUUAUGAGCGCCCAUACGGUGCGCCUACAUUUGAUAUAACGAACUUGAGAGUGCAGAAGACGUGAUAUGUGAACAGCCCCUUACUUAUAGCCUUGUUUGCUGCUCUUUAAUUUAAUUCUUUGUCAUUUAUGUGAAAUUAUGUACCACAACUUAACAGUUUUGAUGUAUGGAUUAUAUUUUUUUAUCUGUUGAACACCAAACAUAAACAAAAAGAAGUUUUAAACUCAUUAUUUUCAUUAAUUUUUAAAAAAGUAAACAAUUUGUUUGCAUUUGCGCAAGCAUAUUCACGCAGCGCUGUCUCGUGAGUGCAGAGGAAGGUUGUGAAUUCCAACGGUCGAGAAGAGAUUGAUCCCCGUCUGCUGAUUUAAAUUGAUGGUCUGACAGAAAUAUUGUUGUGCGGAUUUACACUAAAACACGAAAGAGCCUGAACCGCGACAGUGUCACAAGUUGCCUUACAUCCAUAAGUUUUGUUGUGCUUGUUGCAAACUGUUAAAUUAAGUGUUUUCCGAUCCUAAGCUUAGAAAAAAAGAUGCAAGACUUCAAACUUUCCAGUACUCCUGUGUACUGAUAAUCCGGGUUCCACCCAGUCCCAGGAGUUUUCAGGAGCACAUUACUGUGAUAAAUGCUGAGCUAUGUAAAAGACAACCUGACUACACCAACAAUCGAAUGAGAUGCGCUCUUUUUAAAAGAGUUGAUUUAAUGACAAAAUCAACAUGAGAGGUCAUGGACAUGUUCCCAUUUCUUCGGGUUCCACAAAUUCUGCUGCAUGAAGUGAAGAUGCGGUUUGGGAAGGACCUUCAUCUCAAUCUAGAGACUGCUCUUCAAGUUAAAUUAAAUUUAUGCAUUUAGCAGACGCGACUUACAGUGCAUUCAGGCUA
Carassius auratus (goldfish) is the source of this 1115-nucleotide long non-coding RNA. RefSeq lists it as uncharacterized. NCBI's taxonomy places the organism in Eukaryota, Metazoa, Chordata, Actinopteri, Cypriniformes, Cyprinidae. The record is from RefSeq and is a predicted model, not a curated record. The transcript has 4 exons.